AUGAACGCUGACAGAAUGCUUAACACAUGCAAGUCAACUUGAACUUCGGUUUGGGUGGCGGACGGGUGAGUAACGCGUAAAGAACUUGCCUCACAGAUAGGGACAACAUUUGGAAACGAAUGCUAAUACCUGAUAUUAUGAUUUUAGGGCAUCCUAGAAUUAUGAAAGCUAUAUGCGCUGUGAGAGAGCUUUGCGUCCCAUUAGCUAGUUGGAGAGGUAACGGCUCACCAAGGCGAUGAUGGGUAGCCGGCCUGAGAGGGUGAUCGGCCACAAGGGGACUGAGACACGGCCCUUACUCCUACGGGAGGCAGCAGUGGGGAAUAUUGGACAAUGGACCAAGAGUCUGAUCCAGCAAUUCUGUGUGCACGAUGAAGUUUUUCGGAAUGUAAAGUGCUUUCAGUUGGGAAGAAAAAAAUGACGGUACCAACAGAAGAAGUGACGGCUAAAUACGUGCCAGCAGCCGCGGUAAUACGUAUGUCACAAGCGUUAUCCGGAUUUAUUGGGCGUAAAGCGCGUCUAGGUGGUUAUAUAAGUCUGAUGUGAAAAUGCAGGGCUCAACUCUGUAUUGCGUUGGAAACUGUGUAACUAGAGUACUGGAGAGGUAAGCGGAACUACAAGUGUAGAGGUGAAAUUCGUAGAUAUUUGUAGGAAUGCCGAUGGGGAAGCCAGCUUACUGGACAGAUACUGA
This 688-nucleotide ribosomal RNA is filed under the name uncultured Fusobacteriota bacterium. RNAcentral describes it as "bacterial SSU rRNA". It matches the Rfam family "Bacterial small subunit ribosomal RNA", at positions 29 to 743 of the family's 1533-position model. The record is from RNAcentral. Lineage: Bacteria; Fusobacteriati; Fusobacteriota.